GACGAACGCUGGCGGCGUGCUUAACACAUGCAAGUCGAACGGAAAGGCCCUGCUUUUGUGGGGUGCUCGAGUGGCGAACGGGUGAGUAACACGUGAGUAACCUGCCCUUGACUUUGGGAUAACUUCAGGAAACUGGGGCUAAUACCGGAUAGGAGCUCCUGCUGCAUGGUGGUGGUUGGAAAGUUUCGGCGGUUGGGGCUGGACUCGCGGCUUAUCAGCUUGUUGGUGGGGUAGUGGCUUACCAAGGCUUUGACGGGUAGCCGGCCUGAGAGGGUGACCGGCCACAUUGGGACUGAGAUACGGCCCAGACGCCUACGGGAGGCAGCAGUGGGGAAUAUUGCACAAUGGGCGGAAGCCUGAUGCAGCAACGCCGCGUGCGGGAUGACGGCCUUCGGGUUGUAAACCGCUUUCGCCUGUGACGAAGCGUGAGUGACGGUAAUGGGUAAAGAAGCACCGGCUAACUACGUG
RNAcentral lists this ribosomal RNA (468 nucleotides) under uncultured bacterium. RNAcentral's name for it is "partial 16S ribosomal RNA". It matches the Rfam family "Bacterial small subunit ribosomal RNA", at positions 28 to 507 of the family's 1533-position model. The record is from RNAcentral.